GGGUAGGCAGCUUCUAUAAGGACACAGUCCAACAAUAUUUUCUUCUGUUAGACGUACAGAAGCAUUGUUUACGGCCUCUUCACAGAAUGAAGUGGCAGCUGGGAAAAAAAAAAAGGACAAAACAAACGCCAUUUCCUUCAUUUCAUUCCCAUCAGCCUUUCCACUUGAAAUUGGGAACCCUAGAAUCACCCUUCCUUCAACCUCUGAUCGGCGCCACCAUCUUCUCAACCUCAGACCGGCGAUUUUAAAUGUGGCCAGAUCUGCAAACACCGAACACACACUGAAAUCAUGUCUUUCAUCUUCACCACCGUCCACAAACGUCGCAUUCUUGGUCGACUCAGUCCACAACAGCCAGGUAUCUUCACCUUUGUUUACAAACGCCAAUUGAUUUCCACCGUCGAUGAUAAAACUCAGUCCACAGCAACAAUAUUCUUUGUGAAAUGUUGUGAAAAAGGAAGUUGUGAAAAUUGCGAAAAAGGUAAGUCUCUAUCCCAGCUAUAAGUUGUGAAAAUUGUGAAAAAUGAUGAAAAAGGUUUUGAAGGACUAUUUGCAGCUUGUUUAAUAUCCAAUUUUUGUGAGAAUUAAACAAAUUCCUUAUUCUCCAUAAAUUGUGAAAAACGUUUUGAAACUUGUUGAAUAUGUAAUUGUUGUGAGAAACUGGUGUAAUUCACUUUCUCUAUAAAUUAUUGUGGGAAAUUAGUAGAAUGGCAAUCUUACAGUUUUGUUUGAUUUCCGUCCAGGAUGAGACAAGAAAAUGUUGGGCGUUUUUUAUGGUUGUAGGAGCUCCGAGCACUUCUUCAAUGACUGUCCAAUAAAAUGAGGAUGUCCAUGGUGUCUACUGGGAUGGGAGAAAUGUUUUGAAGUUGAGAGGAAGAUUGAUAACCAAGGAAAAUUAUUCAAAGCAUGCAGCAAAUUUUGUGGAUAUUUCCAUUAGGUCAAGACGGACGAAUCAUGUGGUGAAUCGUAUAAGGAAUGAAGCAGUGGAUCCCAAAUUGUGAAAAAACUUUCUAACAGUCAUUAACUUGCUGUAUUUUAUCAUUUUUCUGCUAUUUCUCUCAAAUUGUGGAGUCCAGUCAACCAUUUUGACACUUGUAAUAUGAAAAAACUUACUAACAGUCUUUAACUUGUAAAUGGAUACUACAAUUUUGGUUGCUAUUAGUUCUUUGUUGCUUAAAUUGCGUAAAUGGAUACUAUAAUUUAUUUAUUUAUUAUUAUUAUUAAUUUUUUUUUUUACUGGGGAUGCCUGCACAUUAUGCUCCAAAGUUGCACAAGAAAAAUUGAAGAAAAAAGCUAGAGAAGAAAGUGAAGCUGCUCGGUUGGGAAAGGGAUGCCUACACAUUACCGUGUGUGUAAGACAACUCUCGAGUGGACUGGAGAAGAGAGUGAAGCUGCUCGGUUGGGAAAGGAAAUCAGCUGCUAGAGUGGUUGGAGAAGAGAGUGACAGUCGCCCGAACAGUCGAUGCUCAGCUCCGGUGCUCCUGAGGUCGGAGAUGAAGUGGAGCAGCUUAUUUUUCCCUCGUUUUCUUUAGGGCUUCCAGCUUUUGGGGAUAAUGAAAUCAGCUUUGGCGGGUUAUUAGGUAAAACAAAGAUUUCCCUCUUUUUCUCCUACCACAUCAUUAUUUUUUUGAAAUUCUGUAGGCAUUCUUUGAGAUAAAAUCUGUACAUCUAGCUUUUUUCUAUUUUCAUUUGGGUUGUCUGUAAUGAACUUGAUGGCUUUGAAGAUUUUUCCAACCUUCUGUUGAAUUAUGCUCGACAUUUUUUGUGCAUUGAAGCCCAAUGAUGCUGCUUAAUUCAAGUGGCCAUUUUAAAUGGAAUGUGACCCGAUUUUGGCCUCUUGUGCACAUCUCGCGUUACUUAAAAACAUGCAUUUGAUAAAUGGUUGAGAUUGUGCCACUUGUUGCCGGCUAGACCAUUGGAUGCAAGUGACUUUUUAUAUACCCUGACUUCUUUUCCGAGGCAUAAUCGAUAGACUUCUAGGUUUCAAUGAGUCUUCUUCUCUAUUCGUCCUCUUUCU
This 2014-nucleotide long non-coding RNA is filed under the name Olea europaea subsp. europaea. The record is from RNAcentral. Lineage: Eukaryota; Viridiplantae; Streptophyta; Magnoliopsida; Lamiales; Oleaceae.